This 944-nucleotide ribosomal RNA is filed under the name Lentinula edodes (shiitake mushroom). RNAcentral describes it as "LSU rRNA". It matches the Rfam family "Eukaryotic large subunit ribosomal RNA", at positions 38 to 966 of the family's 3401-position model. The record is from RNAcentral. Lineage: Eukaryota; Fungi; Basidiomycota; Agaricomycetes; Agaricales; Omphalotaceae.
GCAUAUCAAUAAGCGGAGGAAAAAGAAACUAACAAGGAUUCCCCUAGUAACUGCGAGUGAAGAGGGAAAAGCUCAAAUUUAAAAUCUGGCAGUCUCUGAUUGUCCGAGUUGUAAUUUAGAGAAGUGUUACCCGUGUUGGACCGUGUACAAGUCUCCUGGAAUGGAGCGUCAUAGAGGGUGAGAAUCCCGUCUUUGAUACGGAUCCCAAUACAUUGUGGUACACUCUCGAAGAGUCGAGUUGUUUGGGAAUGCAGCUCUAAAUGGGUGGUAAAUUCCAUCUAAAGCUAAAUAUUGGGGAGAGACCGAUAGCGAACAAGUACCGUGAGGGAAAGAUGAAAAGAACUUUGGAAAGAGAGUUAAACAGUACGUGAAAUUGCUGAAAGGGAAACGCUUGAAGUCAGUCGCGUUGGUCGGGGAUCAGCCUUCCUUAUGGUUGGUGCAUUUCCUGAUCAACGGGUCAACAUCAGUUUUGAUCAAUGGAUAAAAGUUUGAGGGAUGUGGCAUCUUCGGGUGUGUUAUAACCUCUUGCUAUAUACAUUGAUUGGGACUGAGGAACUCAGCACGCCGCAAGGCCGGGUUUUUAACCACGUUCGUGCUUAGGAUGUUGGCAUAAUGGCUUUAAUCGACCCGUCUUGAAACACGGACCAAGGAGUCUAACAUGCCUGCGAGUGUUUGGGUGGAAAACCCGAGCGCGCAAUGAAAGUGAAAGUUAGGAUCUCUGUCGUGGAGAGCACUGACGCCCGGCCCAGACCUUUUGUGACGGUGCCGCGGUUGAGCAUGUAUGUUGGGACCCGAAAGAUGGUGAACUAUGCCUGAAUAGGGUGAAGCCAGAGGAAACUCUGGUGGAGGCUCGUAGCGAUUCUGACGUGCAAAUCGAUCGUCGAAUUUGGGUAUAGGGGGCGAAAGACUAAUCGAACCAUCUAGUAGCUGGGUUCCUGCCGAAG